Molecule: ribosomal RNA, 373 nt
Filed under: uncultured bacterium
Lineage: Bacteria
Description: bacterial SSU rRNA
Rfam family: Bacterial small subunit ribosomal RNA
Source: RNAcentral
AUUGAACGCUGGCGGCGUGCUUAACACAUGCAAGUCGUGCGGUAACAGGCGUAGCAAUACGUGCUGACGAGCGGCGAACGGGUGCGUAAUACAUGGGAAUCUGCCCUUUAGUGGGGAAUAACCCGGCGAAAGCCGGGCUAAUGCCGCAUAAGAUCUUCGGAUGAAAGCGGGGGAUCGUAAGACCUCGCGCUGAUGGAUGAGCCCAUGUCGGAUUAGCAGUUGGUGAGGUAACGGCUCACCAAGGCGACGAUCCGUAGCUGGUCUGAGAGGACGGCCAGCCACACUGGGACUGAGACACGGCCCAGACUCCUACGGGAGGCAGCAGUGGGGAAUAUUGGACAAUGGGGAAACCCUGAUCCAGCGACGCCGCGUG